This 952-nucleotide long non-coding RNA is filed under the name Anser brachyrhynchus (Pink-footed goose). RNAcentral's name for it is "lncRNA (ENSABRG00000010672.1)". The record is from RNAcentral. Lineage: Eukaryota; Metazoa; Chordata; Aves; Anseriformes; Anatidae.
GGAAUGACAAAAUGGUUAAAAGUCUCUUUGGACCAACUCAUUCUUGAUUUCAGAGAGCUGGAUUCAAAUGCUUUUAUGCCUGACAGGCCCACACCUCUGGACUACUCAGCUGUGUAAAUAUGUGUGUACAAACUCUCUAUGCCUAUGUUUCUGCUUUAUGUACUUGGUUAGAUGUGCUAAUCACAUACCAGAAGCUGAAAAUCUGGUGUCUGAUGCUUUGCGGGAGUGUCACAGUCCUUCAGCUGGAGCAGUACUGGGGACCCAUGCAAUCUUGGGGCUGGACAGCGUUUACUCUUGAUUGGCCACAUCAUCUUAAGAUUCCUACGAGUAGACUAAGGUGUUAUUUUCACCUUCUUUUGGCUGAAAAGUAUAGAUUUCAUGGAAAAACUUCAAGUGCUCUGUCCACCUUCAUUUUUUUUUUGUUUGUUUUGUUUUGUUUUGGUGUUUAUUUGGCAAGAUACAGGAGUUUUUUAAUUCAUUUUGAUCCAAACCAAAAUGCUUUAUUUGUGUGUUUUCUUCUGGCCGUUGAUCUAAAAAUCCAAAUAUUCUAACAGUCCCAACUUUAGCAAAUAUGAGAGCAUGGAUUUAGUACCAUUCCUCUUUCUAAGGGUUUUCCUCUGGACAAGCUGCUGUUUAAGCACACACCAAAGUAAGAUUUUGCUCUUAGUGUAUGUCUGAAGAGAUUCUGCAAUGCAUAAAUCAAACUUUCUGAAAACUGAGAGAGCAGAGCAGUGAGCCUAGGCACUCUGUUUCAGACCUCUGAAGCCGAAUGCAGCAGGCGUUGCUCAGUCAUGGCUAGAAACCUGAUAUUCCCUACUAGUUGCAGGAAAUGGGGCAUAUUGCACUUACAGAGGCCAAGCAUAUUUUGUCUGAGUCAUGAUCAUGUUAAAUGCGUUUACUAAGUGAAAAUGGGAAAAAAAAAGAGGGAAGAAAAAGGAAAAAAAGAGAUUCC